GCCUGGGUGGCUCAGUCGGUUAAGCAUCCGACUUCGGCUCAGGUCGUGAUCUCACAGUUCGUGGGUUCGAGCCCCACGUCGGGCU
This 85-nucleotide transfer RNA is filed under the name Felis catus (domestic cat). It matches the Rfam family "tRNA". Rfam says of the family: Transfer RNA (tRNA) molecules are approximately 80 nucleotides in length. Their secondary structure includes four short double-helical elements and three loops (D, anti-codon, and T loops). The record is from Rfam by way of RNAcentral. Lineage: Eukaryota; Metazoa; Chordata; Mammalia; Carnivora; Felidae.